GCAAAGAAGCUGGAAUACGCUCGUGAAGACGAGGCACAGACAUUUGCAGAAAAUGAAGUGGACGAGGAAGCAGUAGAGUGUAAUAACGUGAUUGCUGCAAUUGGUGAGGAUGCAUCAUCUUUUGAGAGUAAUGCGAAUGUCCUGCGUAUCCAGUGAAAUAAGUCAUGGUGAACCUGACUGAAUGCAUUCAUCUACUAUCUCCAACCAAGUCAGAGCUUCAAGGACAGCUUGUGCUAAAGGUGCCUGAGCUUGAUUAAGAAAAAAAGCAUCUCCACUGGCCAAAGUCUACAAAAAAGCAAGAGAAUAGAAGUUUGCAGAUGAUCUAACAGGGUGUCACAGUGGCGCAGUGGGUAGCAUGAUCGCCUCACAUCAAGAAGGUUGCUG
Danio rerio (zebrafish) is the source of this 384-nucleotide non-coding RNA. The record is from RefSeq and is a predicted model, not a curated record. NCBI's taxonomy places the organism in Eukaryota, Metazoa, Chordata, Actinopteri, Cypriniformes, Danionidae.